GACCGGAUUUGACAGCAGGUCGGAGUGGUAUGUAAGCACGCAGUGCGCCUGAAGGUGGGCACUAUAAUCUCGGCUUUCAAAAAUUUAAUUGGCGAAAACAACUACGCUCUCGCUGCCUAAUUGAAGUAUAGUAGAUUAGCUUAAUCCCGACCACCGAUGUGUUGGGACGAGACAUUGCCCAAGUGCCCUGCGUUCCGAGGCGGCUUGAUACGGCAGUGCAGGAAUAUCGGGACAUGCGCCCUUUCGGCUCCGCGGACCGGCGCGAGACUUAGGAGAUAAGGUGUGCAAAUGGCUGCUUCGGCCUAUUACACACACGAAAACCAAUACGAAGCUAAGCGUGUAGAAAGCAUAUUGUUUCCCUGUUUGGACGAGGGUUCGACUCCCUCCUGGUCCACCA
RNAcentral lists this transfer-messenger RNA (397 nucleotides) under uncultured Alloprevotella sp. It matches the Rfam family "transfer-messenger RNA". From Rfam's summary of the family: Bacterial tmRNA, also known as 10Sa RNA or SsrA, is named for its dual tRNA and mRNA-like properties. Its role is to liberate the mRNA from a stalled ribosome. To accomplish this part of the tmRNA is used as a reading frame that ends in a translation stop signal. Lineage: Bacteria; Pseudomonadati; Bacteroidota; Bacteroidia; Bacteroidales; Prevotellaceae. The record is from RNAcentral.